GCUCACCGGGCCCGAAGGGCCCCAUGUGAGCUUAUGCCAUCACUUGGCGUCCGUCGUCGUCGUCUGUCGUCGUAAACUAUUUCAAAAAUCUUCUCCUCUGAAACUACAGGGCCAAAUACCUUCAAACUUUAACUAAAUGUUCCUUAGGGUAUCUAGUUUGUAAAUUGUAUCCGAAGUUUUGAUCCAUCGACAAACAUGGCCGCCAUGGCUAAAAAUAGAACAUAGGGGUCAAAUGCAGUUUUUGGCUUAUAUCUCAAAAACUAAAGCUUUUAGAGCAAAUCUGACAUGGGGGUAAAAUUGUUCAAUUGGUCAAGAUCUAUCAGCUCUGAAAUUUUCAGAUGAAUCGAACAACCCAUUGUUGGGUUGCUGCCACCGAAUUGGUAGUUUUAAAAAAAUUUUGCAGUUUUUAUACGACCGCAAAAAUUAAAAAUUUUUUGGUCGUAUAUUGGUAUGACGUUGGCGUCGGCGUCGUCGUCGUCGUCGUCUGGCAUCGUCCGGCGUCGUCCGAAGACACAUUGGUUUUCGCACUCUAACUUUAGUUUAAGUGAAUGGAUCUCCAUGAAAUUUUACCAUAAGGUUCUAUACCACGAAAGGAAGGUUGGGAUUGAUUUUGGGGGUUAUGGUACCAACAGUUAAGGAAUUAGGGGCCAAAAAUAAGCAUUUUUGUAACUUCCAGACAAUAACUUGUGUGUAAGUGUAUGGAUCUCUCUGACAUUGUACCACAAGGUUCCAUAUCACAAAGGGAAGGCUGUAAUUGAUUUUGGGGGUAAUUGCCUCAAAAUUUUAGGAAUUAGGGGCCAAAAAAGGGGCAAAAAACAAGCAUUUUUCUAGUUUCAUGACAAUAACUUGUGUGUAAGUGUUUGGAUAUUUCUGAAAUUGUACUACAAGGUUCCAUAUCACAAAGAGAAAGCUGGGUUUGAGUUUGGGGGUAAUUGCCCUAAAUGUUUAGGAAUUUGGGUCCAAAAAACAAGCAUUUUUCUUGUUUCCAGACAAUAACUUGUGUUCAAGUGUAUGGAUCUCUCUGAAAUUGUACAGUUCAUACAUGUGAACCUUCCGACGGGAGAACAAUAAUCCCUCUCCUCCCAACCUCCCGUUGAAGACAAAAAAAUCCUGUGUAUGAAAUAUUUCAUGAAUGAAAAAUUUCAGCCCAACAUAUCUGGUGUACCUGACAUUACUGAAGUUAUAUUUUACCUGUAAAUCAAUUAACAUGCAUAAUUAUAUGGCCUCACUUGUCACCUUGGGUGUCAAACAUACUGGUAAUAAACGAUUUUUACCUCAGGCUAACUGCUGUUGUGUAAUAAAACUUUGUUUAUUUAAAAUGAAUGUUGGGUUACUUCCCUUGAUUUAUCCUGUUUUAAGUUACUUUCCUUUAAAUAAUUUAAAUUUUUAAAAGAAUAUAAAUAAAAUAUAAAUUAAACAAAUAAUCAUAAAAGGAUGGUAAUUAAAUGAUUUUAAAUGUUUUAGGACAAAUAAAAAAAUAAUAAUUUGAAAAUUAUUUGAGGGUUCUAUACUUCCUUUCAAGGCUUAACUUGAAAUUUAUAUAAUAACUAUGAGCCAUGAUUACAGUUUGAAUGUGUUACUUAUCAUUCAUUAAAAA
Molecule: long non-coding RNA, 1597 nt
Organism: Mytilus californianus (California mussel)
Lineage: Eukaryota; Metazoa; Mollusca; Bivalvia; Mytilida; Mytilidae
Exons: 2
Source: RefSeq, a predicted model, not a curated record